UGGGGAAUUUUGGACAAUGGGGGAAACCCUGAUCCAGCCAUCCCGCGUGUGCGAUGAAGGCCUUCGGGUUGUAAAGCACUUUUGGCAGGAAAGAAACGUCAUGGGUUAAUACCCCGUGAAACUGACGGUACCUGCAGAAUAAGCACCGGCUAACUACGUGCCAGCAGCCGCGGUAAUACGUAGGGUGCAAGCGUUAAUCGGAAUUACUGGGCGUAAAGCGUGCGCAGGCGGUUCGGAAAGAAAGAUGUGAAAUCCCAGAGCUCAACUUUGGAACUGCAUUUUUAACUACCGGGCUAGAGUGUGUCAGAGGGAGGUGGAAUUCCGCGUGUAGCAGUGAAAUGCGUAGAUAUGCGGAGGAAAACCGAUGGCGAAGGCAGCCUCCUGGGAUAACACUGGCGCUCAUGCACGACAGCGUGGGGAGCAAACAGG
This 429-nucleotide ribosomal RNA is filed under the name Acidobacteriota bacterium. Its description in RNAcentral is "Acidobacteria bacterium partial 16S ribosomal RNA". It matches the Rfam family "Bacterial small subunit ribosomal RNA", at positions 355 to 776 of the family's 1533-position model. The record is from RNAcentral. Lineage: Bacteria; Pseudomonadati; Acidobacteriota.